Molecule: ribosomal RNA, 497 nt
Filed under: uncultured bacterium
Lineage: Bacteria
Description: partial 16S ribosomal RNA
Rfam family: Bacterial small subunit ribosomal RNA
Source: RNAcentral
GAUGAACGCUGGCGGCGUGCCUAAUACAUGCAAGUCGAGCGAACAGAUGAGGAGCUUGCUCCUCUGACGUUAGCGGCGGACGGGUGAGUAACACGUGGACAACCUACCUAUAAGACUGGGAUAACUUCGGGAAACCGGAGCUAAUACCGGAUAAUAUAUUGAACCGCAUGGUUCAAUAGUGAAAGACGGUUUUGCUGUCACUUAUAGAUGGAUCCGCGCCGCAUUAGCUAGUUGGUAAGGUAACGGCUUACCAAGGCGACGAUGCGUAGCCGACCUGAGAGGGUGAUCGGCCACACUGGAACUGAGACACGGUCCAGACUCCUACGGGAGGCAGCAGUAGGGAAUCUUCCGCAAUGGGCGAAAGCUUGACGGAGCAACGCCGCGUGAGUGAUGAAGGUCUUCGGAUCGUAAAACUCUGUUAUUAGGGAAGAACAAAUGUGUAAGUAACUAUGCACGUCUUGACGGUACCUAAUCAGAAAGCCACGGCUAACUACGUG